ACCAGACUCCUACGGGAGGCAGCAGUGGGGAAUAUUGCACAAUGGGCGAAAGCCUGAUGCAGCAACGCCGCGUGAAGGAAGAAGGCCUUCGGGUCGUAAACUUCUGUCCUUGGGGAAGAGGAACUGACGGUACCUGACUAAGAAGCCCCGACUAACUACGUGCCAGCAGCCGCGGUAAUACGUAGGGGGCAAGCGUUAUCCGGAUUUACUGGGUGUAAAGGGAGCGUAGACGGCAACACAAGUCUGGAGUGAAAGCCCGGGGCUCAACCGCGGGACUGCUUUUGAAACUGUUAAGCUUGAGUGCAGGAGAGGUAAGCGGAAUUCCUAGUGUAGCGGUGAAAUGCGUAGAUAUUAGGAGGAACACCAGUGGCGAAGGCGGCUUACUGGACUGUAACUGACACUGAGGCUCGAAAGCGUGGGGAGCAAACAGGAUUAGAUACCCCUGUAAC
This 449-nucleotide ribosomal RNA is filed under the name uncultured bacterium. RNAcentral describes it as "partial 16S ribosomal RNA". It matches the Rfam family "Bacterial small subunit ribosomal RNA", at positions 330 to 794 of the family's 1533-position model. The record is from RNAcentral.